GAGUUUGAUCCUGGCUCAGAUUGAACGCUGGCGGCAUGCUUUACACAUGCAAGUCGAACGGCAGCACGGGUGCUUGCACCUGGUGGCGAGUGGCGAACGGGUGAGUAAUAUAUCGGAACGUACCCGGAAAUGGGGGAUAACGUAGCGAAAGUUACGCUAAUACCGCAUAUGCCCUGAGGGGGAAAGCGGGGGACUCGUAAGAGCCUCGCGUUUUCGGAGCGGCCGAUAUCGGAUUAGCUAGUAGGUGAGGUAAAGGCUCACCUAGGCUACGAUCCGUAGCUGGUCUGAGAGGACGACCAGCCACACUGGAACUGAGACACGGUCCAGACUCCUACGGGAGGCAGCAGUGGGGAAUUUUGGACAAUGGGCGCAAGCCUGAUCCAGCCAUGCCGCGUGAGUGAAGAAGGCCUUCGGGUUGUAAAGCUCUUUCAGCCGGAAAGAAAACGCACAGAUUAAUACCUUGUGUGGAUGACGGUACCGGAAGAAGAAGCACCGGCUAACUACGUGCCAGCAGCCGCGGUAAUACGUAGGGUGCGAGCGUUAAUCGGAAUUACUGGGCGUAAAGCGUGCGCAGGCGGUUUUGUAAGACAGAUGUGAAAUCCCCGGGCUUAACCUGGGAACUGCAUUUGUGACUGCAAGGCUAGAGUACGGCAGAGGGGGGUAGAAUUCCACGUGUAGCAGUGAAAUGCGUAGAUAUGUGGAGGAAUACCGAUGGCGAAGGCAGCCCCCUGGGUCGAUACUGACGCUCAUGCACGAAAGCGUGGGGAGCAAACAGGAUUAGAUACCCUGGUAGUCCACGCCCUAAACGAUGUCAACUAGGUGUUGGGGGAGGAGACUUCCUUAGUACCGUAGCUAACGCGUGAAGUUGACCGCCUGGGGAGUACGGUCGCAAGAUUAAAACUCAAAGGAAUUGACGGGGACCCGCACAAGCGGUGGAUUAUGUGGAUUAAUUCGAUGCAACGCGAAAAACCUUACCUACCCU
RNAcentral lists this ribosomal RNA (982 nucleotides) under uncultured bacterium. RNAcentral describes it as "bacterial SSU rRNA". It matches the Rfam family "Bacterial small subunit ribosomal RNA", at positions 9 to 981 of the family's 1533-position model. The record is from RNAcentral.